UGCCCAGUGCUCUGAAUGUCAAA
RNAcentral lists this non-coding RNA (23 nucleotides) under Arabidopsis thaliana (thale cress). The record is from RNAcentral. RNAcentral also lists the same sequence under 4 other names. Lineage: Eukaryota; Viridiplantae; Streptophyta; Magnoliopsida; Brassicales; Brassicaceae.